AACCUCCGCAAUGUGAGAAAUCGCGACGGGGGGAUCCCAAGUGCCAUUCUUAACGGGAUGGCUUUUCAUUAGUGUAAAGAGCUUUUGGAAUAAGGGCUGGGCAAGACCGGUGCCAGCCGCCGCGGUAACACCGGCAGCUCUAGUGGUAGCAGUUUUUAUUGGGCCUAAAGCGUCCGUAGCCGGUUUAAUAAGUCUCUGGUGAAAUCCUGUAGCUUAACUGUGGGAAUUGCUGGAGAUACUAUUAGACUUGAGACCGGGAGAGGUUAGAGGUACUCCCAGGGUAGAGGUGAAAUUCUGUAAUCCUGGGAGGACCGCCUGUUGCGAAGGCGUCUAACUGGAACGGUUCUGACGGUGAGGGACGAAAGUUAGGGGCGCGAACCGGAUUAGAUACCCGGGUAGUCCUAACCGUAAACGAUGCGGACUUGGUGUUGGGGUGGCUUUGAGCUGCUCCAGUGCCGAAGGGAAGCUGUUAAGUCCGCCGCCUGGGAAGUACGGUCGCAAGACUAAAACUUAAAGGAAUU
RNAcentral lists this ribosomal RNA (521 nucleotides) under uncultured bacterium. RNAcentral describes it as "bacterial SSU rRNA". It matches the Rfam family "Archaeal small subunit ribosomal RNA", at positions 345 to 866 of the family's 1478-position model. The record is from RNAcentral.